UACAGAGGGUGCAAGCGUUAAUCGGAUUUACUGGGCGUAAAGGGUGCGUAGGUGGCUUGAUAAGUCAGGUGUGAAAUCCCCGAGCUCAACUUGGGAACUGCAUUUGAAACUGUCUGGCUUGAGUGUGGUAGAGGGUGGUGGAAUGCCAGGUGUAGCGGUGAAAUGCGUAGAUAUCUGGUGGAACAUCAGUGGCGAAGGCGACUACCUGGACCAACACUGACACUGAGGCACGAAAGCGUGGGUAGCAAACAGG
RNAcentral lists this ribosomal RNA (253 nucleotides) under uncultured bacterium. RNAcentral's name for it is "partial 16S ribosomal RNA". It matches the Rfam family "Bacterial small subunit ribosomal RNA", at positions 524 to 776 of the family's 1533-position model. The record is from RNAcentral.